CAGCCGCCACGGUAAUACGAAGGGGGCUAGCGUUGCUCGGAAUGACUGGGCGUAAAGGGCGCGUAGGCGGCGAUCAAAGUCAGGCGUGAAAUUCCUGGGCUCAACCUGGGGGCUGCGCUUGAUACUUGGUUGCUUGAGUGGGGAAGAGGGUCGUGGAAUUCCCAGUGUAGAGGUGAAAUUCGUAGAUAUUGGGAAGAACACCGGUGGCGAAGGCGGCGACCUGGUCCUUGACUGACGCUGAGGCGCGAAAGCGUGGAGAGCAAACAGGAUUAGAUACCCGCGUAGUCCCUGUCUCUUAUAC
This 301-nucleotide ribosomal RNA is filed under the name uncultured bacterium. RNAcentral describes it as "partial 16S ribosomal RNA". It matches the Rfam family "Bacterial small subunit ribosomal RNA", at positions 509 to 807 of the family's 1533-position model. The record is from RNAcentral.